RNA transcript from Myiozetetes cayanensis, 2279 nucleotides. It is a transcript of the gene named biotin-dependent 3-methylcrotonyl-coenzyme A carboxylase beta1 subunit-like, with no coding region annotated. Lineage: Eukaryota; Metazoa; Chordata; Aves; Passeriformes; Tyrannidae. The transcript has 13 exons. The record is from RefSeq and is a predicted model, not a curated record.
UCUCCGUGGGAACAGGAGGUGUCCCCUUACGACCCCCCUGGCGUGGCAGGAACUUACGGUGUCUCCUCACGACGCCCAUGGAAGGGCGUGAACGGGUGUCCCCUCACGACCCUCGGAGAAGGGCGGGAACAGUGUCUGUCCCCUCACGAUCCCCGUCUGACGGGAGUGUCCCCUCAGGGCCCACAUGGCAGGGCAGGCACCGGGGCUGUCCCCUCGCGGCCGCCGCCCGUGGCGAGGGGACCGCGUUCCCCCUCAGCCGAGAGAAUCCACGCUGUAAUUCCCGUCACUAAGCGCUGCUUGUUGUCCCCCAGCUCUUGGGGCCAUGUGGAACACGGCCCCUCUGUGCGCCCUGGGCAGGGGCCGCCCCGGGCCCUCCCUGAUCCGCCUGUUCCAGAAGGAAUAUCGGGAGCUCCUGUUGCACGGCCAGGGCUGGGGAAGGACGCACCAUCUGCCGCCCCGCCGAUUUGUGAGUAAUAAGUCGAAAUACAGGCGGCACCCCAGAACGUACCCGGUUCUGGACGGACGUGUCCUCGCUGUACACCGACAUGUGUUCGAACAGAAUUUAAGGAACAGCGAGGCUGUGGUUAAAAGAUACUCGGAAUUGUUGGAGAGGGUGAGGAAAGGAGGGGGAGAAAACGCCAUCCUGCGCCACACUCAGCGCAACAAGAAGCUGUUUGUUAGGGAGCGCCUGAAGCUGCUGCUGGAUGAUGAGUCUUUCCUGGAGCUGUCCCCUCUGGCAGGGCUCAACAUGUCCUAUGGGGAUGUCCCUGCUGCUGGGUGCCUCACUGGAAUUGGCAAAAUCUGUGGAAUAUGGUGUGUCUUUGUGGCAAGUGAUGCCACUGUGAAAGGAGGAACUAUUUACCCAAUUGGAGUGAAAAAACAGUUAAGAGCCCAAGAAAUUGCCAUGGAGAACAGGCUGCUGUCUGUGCACCUUGUGGACAGUGGAGGAGCAUUCCUACCACUGCAGUCAGAGCUGUUUCCUGACAAGCUGCACGGUGGCAGGAUUUUCUACAAUGAAGCAAUCAUGUCUGCCAUGGGAAUCCCUCAGGUGGCCGUAGUGUGUGGCUCCUGUGUUGCUGGAGGUGCCUACGUGCCCACCAUGGCCGAGGAAGCCGUGAUCAUAGAUAAAAUUGGGACACUGUUCCUGGCUGGCCCACCACUUGUAAAAGCUGCUACAGGAGAAUACGUGUCUCCUGAGGACCUUGGAGGAGCCAAACUUCACUCACAAGUCAGUGGCUGUACUGACCAUUUUGCACCUUCAGAAAAGGAGGCCUAUGAAUGUAUUCGCAAUGUUAUCUCUACGUUAAACUAUGACCCAGUGCCAGAGGAGGACACAGAGCACGACAGUCCCCUGUACAGCUCUGAGGAGCUCCUGGGACUGGCACCACAGGACUACAGGUGUACUCUUCCUGUCAAACUGAUUCUGAGCCGUUUGGUGGAUGGAAGCAGAUUCCAGGAAUUCAAGGCUAAUUAUGGAACAACAUUAGUAACAGGAUUUGGCCAUGUGGAAGGGUACUUGGUGGGGAUAGUGGCCAACAACGGGGAGCUGGCUCAUGAUGCUGCGCUCAAGGGCAGCCACUUCGUCCAGCUCUGUGGCCAGCGGGGAAUUCCCAUCAUCUUCCUCCAAAAUACUCCUCCACAGCCAGCAGAGCCAACAAGCAUCUCACAGGCAGAGGCUCAUUCCAACAGGCUGAAAGCCCAGGCUUCCAUGAUGGCUGCUGUUGCUUGUGCUGCUGUUCCCAAAAUCACCAUCGUCAUCGGGGGCUGUUACGGGAGCGACAGCUACGUCAUGUGUGGGAGAUCGUUCAGUCCAAACUUUCUGUUCCUGUGGCCUAAUGCAAGAGUUGCUCUUGUGGAUUCAAGAAGUUUCUCCACAGUCCCCCAAGCUGGGGACAGUGACUGUACAGAUGAAUCAGAGCUGAAACAGCUGAAGGCAAAGCUCGAGGAAGAAAGCAGUGCAUUUUACUCCUCUGCCAGACUCUGGGAUGAUGGAAUCAUUCUACCUCAAAACACUAGAAAGGUGAUUGCCCAGUGCUUGGACAUCAUGGAACAGCACAAGUACCAGGCCGUGUCUCCAUGUCGCUAUCCCAUCAUCAGGAUGUAAUCUCCACCCUCAAACCAGCAGCCCUGCAGAGCCAGCACCACCUGCCAGAACUCUGAGUGCAUCUUUCACUCUGCUGCAGCUACAAGGAUUAAAUUUAUAAAAAUGGAACCACCACCACACCAAACUUGGGGUGUUUUAACUGGAAAUUAUGCCAAAGGUUGUAUUUAAAAAAUAC